This 72-nucleotide transfer RNA is filed under the name Camelus bactrianus (Bactrian camel). It matches the Rfam family "tRNA". From Rfam's summary of the family: Transfer RNA (tRNA) molecules are approximately 80 nucleotides in length. The record is from Rfam by way of RNAcentral. RNAcentral also lists the same sequence under 3 other names. Lineage: Eukaryota; Metazoa; Chordata; Mammalia; Artiodactyla; Camelidae.
GAGGGUAUGGCUCAGUGGCAGAGUGCUUGCUUAGUAUGCAUGAGGUCCUGGAUUCAAUCCCCGGUAACUCCC